This 28-nucleotide small RNA is filed under the name Bombyx mori (domestic silkworm). RNAcentral describes it as "ovarian small RNA-16881". The record is from RNAcentral. Lineage: Eukaryota; Metazoa; Arthropoda; Insecta; Lepidoptera; Bombycidae.
GCGCCUCGACGAGAUGAUUGCGUCACGA